ACCCGCACAAGCGGUGGAUGAUGUGGUUUAAUUCGAUGACAACGACGAAAACUUACCUACCCUUGACAUGUCAAGAAUUUUGCAGAGAUGUGAAAGUGCUCGAAAGAGAACUUGAACACAGGUGCUGCAUGGCCGUCGUCAGCUCGUGUCGUGAGAUGUUGGGUUAAGUCCCGCAACGAGCGCAACCCUUGUCAUUAGUUGCUACCGCAAAGAGCACUCUAAUGAGACUGCCGGUGACAAACCGGAGGAAGGUGGGGAUGACGUCAGGUCCUCAUGGCCCUUAUGGGUAGGGCUACACACGUCAUACAAUGGCCGGUACAGAGGGCUGCCAACCCGCGAGGGGGAGCCAAUCCCAGAAAACCGGUCGUAGUCCGGAUCGUAGUCUGCAACUCGACUGCGUGAAGUCGGAAUCGCUAGUAAUCGCGGAUCAGCUUGCCGCGGUGAAUACGUUCCCGGGUCUU
This 461-nucleotide ribosomal RNA is filed under the name uncultured Aquabacterium sp. RNAcentral describes it as "bacterial SSU rRNA". It matches the Rfam family "Bacterial small subunit ribosomal RNA", at positions 919 to 1382 of the family's 1533-position model. The record is from RNAcentral. Lineage: Bacteria; Pseudomonadati; Pseudomonadota; Betaproteobacteria; Burkholderiales; Sphaerotilaceae.